GAUGAAGAACGUAGCGAAAUGCGAUAAGUAAUGUGAAUUGCAGAAUUCAGUGAAUCAUCGAAUCUUUGAACGCACAUUGCGCCCGCCAGUAUUCUGGCGGGCAUGCCUGUCCGAGCGUCAUUUCAACCCUCGAACCCCUCCGGGGGGUCGGCGUUGGGGAUCGGGAACCCCUAAGACGGGAUCCCGGCCCCGAAAUACAGUGGCGGUCUCGCCGCAGCCUCUCCUGCGCAGUAGUUUGCACAACUCGCACCGGGAGCGCGGCGCGUCCACAUCCGUAAAACACCCAACUUUCUGAAAUGUUGACCUCGGAUCAGGUAGGAAUACCCGCUGAACUUAAGCAUAUCAAUAAGCGGAGGA
This 357-nucleotide unclassified non-coding RNA is filed under the name soil metagenome. Its description in RNAcentral is "partial contains 5.8S ribosomal RNA, internal transcribed spacer 2, and large subunit ribosomal RNA". The stretch from base 1 to 120 matches the Rfam family "5.8S ribosomal RNA", at positions 35 to 154 of the family's 154-position model. The record is from RNAcentral.